UCCUGGCUCAGGAUGAACGCUGGCGGCGUGCUUAACACAUGCAAGUCGAACGGAGUAUUAAGAAUGAAGUUUCGGAUGGAUGUUAAUACUAGUGGCGGACGGGUGAGUAACGCGUGGGUAACCUGCCUCACACAGGGGGAUAACAGUUGGAAACGACUGUUAAUACCGCAUAAGACCACAGUACCGCAUGGUACAGGGGGUAAAAAACUCCGGUGGUGUGAGAUGGACCCGCGUCUGAUUAGUUAGUUGCGGGGUAACGGCCCACCAAGACGACGAUCAGUAGCCGAUCUGAGAGGAUGACCGGCCACAUUGGGACUGAGACACGGCCCAAACUCCUACGGGAGGCAGCAGUGGGGAAUAUUGCACAAUGGGGGAAACCCUGAUGCAAGCGACGCCGCGUGAGUGAAGAAGUAUUUCGGUAUGUAAAGCUCUAUCAGCAGGGAAGAAAAUGACGGUACCUGAGUAAGAAGCCCCGGCUAACUACGUGCCAGCAGCCGC
RNAcentral lists this ribosomal RNA (498 nucleotides) under uncultured bacterium. RNAcentral's name for it is "bacterial SSU rRNA". It matches the Rfam family "Bacterial small subunit ribosomal RNA", at positions 17 to 518 of the family's 1533-position model. The record is from RNAcentral.